This 194-nucleotide ribosomal RNA is filed under the name uncultured Cellulomonas sp. RNAcentral's name for it is "partial 16S ribosomal RNA". It matches the Rfam family "Bacterial small subunit ribosomal RNA", at positions 1190 to 1382 of the family's 1533-position model. The record is from RNAcentral. Lineage: Bacteria; Bacillati; Actinomycetota; Actinomycetes; Micrococcales; Cellulomonadaceae.
UCAUCAUGCCCCUUAUGUCUUGGGCUUCACGCAUGCUACAAUGGCCGGUACAAAGGGCUGCGAUACCGCGAGGUGGAGCGAAAUCCCAGAAAGCCGGUCUCAGUUCGGAUUGGGUCUGCAACUCGACCCCAUGAAGUCGGAGUCGCUAGUAAUCGCAGAUCAGCAACGCUGCGGUGAAUACGUUCCCGGGCCUU